GACGAACGCUGGCGGCGUGCUUAACACAUGCAAGUCGAACGGAAAGGCCCUGCUUUUGUGGGGUGCUCGAGUGGCGAACGGGUGAGUAACACGUGAGUAACCUGCCCUUGACUUUGGGAUAACUUCAGGAAACUGGGGCUAAUACCGGAUAGGAGCUCCUGCUGCAUGGUGGGGGUUGGAAAGUUUCGGCGGUUGGGGAUGGACUCGCGGGAUCUGCUCGUUGGUGGGGUAUUGGCUUACCAAGGGUUUGACGGGUAGCCGGCCUGUGAGGGGGACCGGCCACAUUGGGACUGAGAUACGGCCCAGACUCCUACGGGAGGCAGCAGUGGGGAAUAUUGCACAAUGGGCGGAAGCCUGAUGCAGCAACGCCGCGUGCGGGAUGACGGCCUUCGGGUUGUAAACCGCUUUCGCCUGUGACGAAGCGUGAGUGACGGUAAUGGGUAAAGAAGCACCGGCUAACUACGUG
This 466-nucleotide ribosomal RNA is filed under the name uncultured bacterium. RNAcentral's name for it is "partial 16S ribosomal RNA". It matches the Rfam family "Bacterial small subunit ribosomal RNA", at positions 28 to 507 of the family's 1533-position model. The record is from RNAcentral.